GCAACAUGCGGGGCAGGAGGGGCUGUAAGACGGAGGGCGCAAGCGUGGUGCUGAAUUGUUGGGCGUAAAGAGCGCGUAGGUGGGUUGUCGCGUCUGCUGUGAAAACCUAGGGCUUAACCCUGGGCCUGCAGUGGAUACGGGCAGACUAGAGGUAGGUAGGGGAGAAGGGAAUUCCCGGUGUAGCGGUGAAAUGCGCAGAUAUCGGGAGGAACACCGGUGGCGAAGGCGGUUCUCUGGGCCUUACCUGACACUGAGGAGCGAAAGCGUGGGGAGCGAACAGGAUUAGAUACCCGGGUAGUC
RNAcentral lists this ribosomal RNA (300 nucleotides) under uncultured Pyrobaculum sp. RNAcentral describes it as "bacterial SSU rRNA". It matches the Rfam family "Bacterial small subunit ribosomal RNA", at positions 496 to 795 of the family's 1533-position model. The record is from RNAcentral. Lineage: Archaea; Thermoproteati; Thermoproteota; Thermoprotei; Thermoproteales; Thermoproteaceae.